RNAcentral lists this long non-coding RNA (8306 nucleotides) under Homo sapiens (human). Its description in RNAcentral is "non-protein coding lnc-PTPN14-2:9". Lineage: Eukaryota; Metazoa; Chordata; Mammalia; Primates; Hominidae. The record is from RNAcentral.
GCCGCCGCCGCCGCCCUACCUGGUGAAGCAGUACUCGCAGUGGUUGCCCCGCUCGUUGACCUGGAAUUACAUGGACGGAAGAGGAAAUGCAUUGGCCGGCCCAGCUCACCGAGUCUCUGAGGCAUGCUGCGAACGUUGCAGAGGAAGCCAGAGAGAACCUUGCCUUCAAGGAAUUUAGGCUGUUGGGGGAUAAUGCGAUGCUGUGGCCAGUGUCCAGGACACUGCGCUAGAGUUUGCAGUAGUUUUAAUAUGCUUGACCACCCACGAACUGUGAUCUUAGAAAAGUCACUUGGGUUAGGAGUCAAAGGAUUUAAAGCCCACAAAGCCUGAAACGUAAAUCCUAUACACAUGCACGCUAUUACUUUUCAUAUGAGAAAGGAAAAUAUAAUCCGUGUUCCACAUGAUUAUGUAAAGACUGGAAUUGAUGUACAUGCAGUAAAGACUAAAAUUGUGACGAGAUCAUUUAGCAGAAACCACUACUUCAAAAUAGGACCUCAAACAGUUACCUGUGUAAGUUCAGGACUGGUUGAGCAAAGGGAAAGGAUUAAUAUGAUUGGAGAUGUAAAAUCAGUGGAAUUUUUGGCAUUUCAGUAAAAUGUCUUUAUCAGCUGGGUGUGGUGGCUCAGCCCUGUAAUCCCAACACUGUGGGAGGCCAAGGUGGGAGGAUCAUUUGAGCCCAGGAAUUGGAGAGUUGGAGACCAGCUUGGGCAACAUAAAGACCCCGUCUCUAUGGGAAAUUAACCACCUCUCAAGUGGUGCUGAGGUGGGAGGAUAGCUUGAGCCUGGGAAGUCAAGGUUGCAGUGAGCUGUGGUGACUCCAUUAUACUCCAGCCUGGGUGACAGAGCAGGACCUUGUCUCAAAAGAAAACAAAAAAGCCCUUAUUAGUGGCAAACUAAAUAAGCCUCUAACCCGUCUUCAAGUAAAGGAAGUUAUGAUAGUAUUUUCAUUUAUGCAUUUUAAGAAACUUCGACUGACUAUGGCCAGCAACUGGGAUAGAAAGAUGGACAUCAGCCGGCUGUGGUGGCUCACGCCUGUAAUCCCAGCACUUUGGGAGGCCGAGGUAGGCGGAUCACCUGAGGUCGAGAGUUCAAGACCAGCCUGACCAACAUGGAGAAACCUCAUCUCUACUAAAAAUACAAAAUUAGCCAGGUGUGGUGGUGCAUGCCUGUAAUCCCAGCUACUCGGGAGGCUGAGGCAGGAGAAUCGCUUGAACCUGGGAGGUGGAGGUUGCUGUGAGCCAAAAUCGCACCAUUGCACUCCAGCCUGCGCAAGAAGAGCGAAACUCUGUCUCAAAAAAAAAAAAAAAAAAAAAGUGGACAAAAUGUAGUCCUAGGUCCUUGCAUUUGGCACAUUCAAGUUUGAUAAUACCAUUAGUUAUUGAGUAUUGUUGACCAGGCAUCGUGCUCCAUCAUUAAACACAUUAUCUGGUUUAUCUUUACAACAGGCUAAUGAGUUAGGUAUUAUGCCCCUCAUUGCCAAAAUUAGGAAGGAAACUAAGACCCAGAAGGAAUGAUUUUCAAGGCCACACAAUAAAUUGCAGAAUUUGGUUUCCAAGUCAGUCUGAAUUCAAGGUCCAUGUUCCUAACCACAGUGUUUUGCUGCAAACAAACACAGUUCACUGGGAUAAGUGCAGUUAUGGUGGCUUGUACAAAAUGUUCUGUGGUAGUACAGGCAGGGAGUGACAGCUUUAGCCUGCUAAACAGUCAAGACAGGCAUCACAUUCAAGUAACGUUAGAGCUGAGCCUGAAGGAUGGACAGGAUUUUGCAAGUGGAGGUGGGGAGAAGAGUUUUCUGGGCAGAGAGAACUGCGUACAAAGACAGAAGACCCUGAAAGCACAGAGCUUGUAGUUGGGGGCCCCUGAGCAUCUGGAAGAGAGGACAGGAAAUGAGGCAGGAACAGCUGAAGAGCAUCUUCUCCAGAGGCGCUGAUAAAUGAAAACCUUAAAAAAAGAAAUCCUAUGAAUUCUUAGAUUGGCGGUGCUGGACAGCAAGUGACCAGAAGAGAAACAAGUGGUAACCCAACCUGCAUGAAGAAAAUUCAGUAGAACCUUGCUGGUGUAGAGAAGAUGGCACAAAGAAGAGUGAGAACACUUUUAUGAAAGGCUUAGGAAAUGUUGAAGUUUUCCAGUUUUCUUCCUAUGUGAAGGAACAUAGUGAAGGGGGAAAGGCCCCUUUUUUGCACAUACCUGUGGAGGGUAACGCUGUGUGGGUGCAUUUAGCCCUAAUCUCUGCCGUGGAUCAGGAUCGUUGGUUGUGGAGGAGGAAGAAGAGAGGGAAAGGCUUGAAUACUUACAAAAGAUUUUGAGAGCCUAAAUGAUGAAAGCUAGCAGUUCUACAGUGUUUACUAAGUGCAAGAAACUGUUGUAAGAGUUUUGCAUAUAUUAACUCCUUUGAUUCGAUUCUAAUGACCCUAUGAGGUAGGUGCUAUUAUUAUCAUCUCCAUUUCACAGAGAAGGAAAUUGAGACACAGAGAGAUUAAAUAACUUGACCAAGAUCACACAGCUAUAAUAGUCAAUUGUGGAGCUGGGAUUCAAGCUCUGGUGUCUGCUUUCAGAUUCAUACCCUUACCCAUUACCCUGUACUACCCAUCUGGAAUGUGGAGAACGUGCUGAUAACAUUGCUAAUAAUCAUCUGUCGUUUAUUUCUGACUACUCUCCAAUUUUUUUAAGAGACCUGUAUCUAACCUUUGGUGAUAACUAAACUAUAGGAGAAAACUUGAGUUCUGAUAGUAAGAAACAUUUACAAAAUGGUCUGAAAGUUGAUUUGAAGUCGAAAACCCUUAUAUGUGUUUGUAAAUUCUAGAGAAGAAGUGGCAGCCAGGCAGAUGAGCUCUCUGUUCUGUGCAGAGCUGAUGGUACUCCCUGCCCUGGGGAGCCGGCACUGGCAGCGAUUACAUCACUAAGUCACCCUCCAUACUCAGCUGCUUGCUAAGAAUUAAAUUGCUGGCACCAGAUCUGGUGAGCCUCAUGUUACCAUGGCUUGUUUGUGGAGAGCACAUUAGUGUGAUAUGUUCAGUCUUCAGAAACAGUUAAACAUCAGCUUUAUUACCAAAAAGAUAGUGUAUGCUGGUAUUACUCCUGGUUAUUCGGUUCAGCUCCUCAAGUGAACAGUCCCACACCUAUUUAGCCCAUUGAGUCAAGCUGACCUCCUUUCCCGGUUACGGGUUUGUGGACAGGAGUGACAGGCGGGUUCACUUGCAAGGGAGCCAGAGAGCCGCUCGUGCCUCUGCUGCCCUCUAGAGGCGUGUCAGGCCAAGGCCGCUCAUCUCUGAGCCUUGCCGGCGGAUUGCACCACCAGUCCACCUUUUGUCUCCCUUUUGAAUCUCCACUGAACACCAUUUGUCAAAAGGGUUGAGGCAAAACCACUCUGAGCUUCCAAAACAAUAAUAAGACUUAAUUAGAAUUCCAAGCUAAGCCAUUGAGAGUUGCUGUUUAUAUUGGGGAAGAUGUAACACUUCAGUCCUGUGUUUUUCAGCCCCUACAUCUCAACCAUCAAAGGGAAAUGAGUCAAGGUUGUUUUAAAACUAUAAAUAGAGCUAACACUUACAAAGCAAUUGCCACAUGCCAGGUACUAUUCUAAGCGCCUCGCAUAUGAUGACCUAUUUAAUGAGGUGGGUGGUAUGAGCAUCUCUAUCUUAUAAAUAGGGGAACUGAGGCAAGGGACUGUAAGUAUUUCUCACAGUUCAUGGGUGGUGGAACUGGCUUUGAAGCCCGGUAGUUCUGGCUCCAUGAACUUGGCUUAUAAUCACUUUACUGUACGGCCUCUUUUAUAGCUAUCGAGGCAUGCAUUGCAAGUCCAAUUUUUAGGUAAAGGUUUUGUUAAAAAUCUUUAACCUUAAUCUUGUAAUGAGGAAACAAUUGGCCCAGACCCUUUAAAAAUGUCAAUGACGUAAUAAAUAAAGAAGGAGAAGGAGGAGGAGGAAGGGGAGAAGUAUUUUAGAGCUAUGACAACUAAAUAUAAUUCAUUGUCCAUGGUUAGACCCUGGAUAUAAAGAGACAAAACUACAAACAAUAUUAUUGGGAAAUUAGGAAAAUAUGAAUAUGGGCUAUAUUUUGGAUAAUCAUAUUAAUGUUGCAUUUCUUGAGUAUGACCUCUUAUUGCUGUUAUAUAGCAGUAUGUCCUUGUUCUUAAGUGAUACUUGAACUAUUUAGGGGUAAAAUAUCAUGAUAUCAGCAAAUUACUAUCAGACAAUUCAGGAAAAAAAUAUACCUGAGAAAGAAAGAGAAAGCAAAUGUGGCAAAAUGUAAAAUAAUUAGGAAACUAGGUAAAGGGUAUAUGGUGUUCAUUAUGCUAUUUUUAAAACUUUUUUCUAGGUUUGACAUUUUUAGCAUAAAAAGUAGAGGCAAAAUAAUUACUUAUUUCAGAAUAAGAGGUAGCCAUGGCUACACCCAAGGUAUCUGCCUGGACACCACAAGUGGUACAAAUAAGCAAAGUGUGUUAGUUGGGAAUCCACAGGCAAGCUUUGAAAUCUGUAGACAUAUGUUAUAUGAAAGUGUAUGAGAUAUUACAUCUUAUUUAUUCAUGUUUUUCCAUUAGUACUAGGAAUUACAUGCAUCAUUAUGUAUUUUCAAAAAAGAUCAAGUUUCCAUCCAAUAGAAAAUAAAUAGUGCAAAUUACAAAGUCUUGUAUGAAACUAAAUAAGGUCUAAUUGUAGUCUUGGGAUUAUUCUGUUUUUAUCAUCAACAAAUAAGGCAUUUGUAGGAGAGUGCCUGCCCUAUUUAUUCAGCACUGUGUUCCAGGUACUGAUUUAGUGCUGGGGAUACACCAGUGAGCAAACCAAGAUCUCUGAACUCAUGGUGCUCGCCUUCUGAUGGGACAGAGAGACAAAUAUUAUAGCUCAGUAAACUGCAGAGAAUGUUAGAAAGUGAUUAUUGCCAAAGAAAAGUAGAAAAAUAGAGCAGCAUAGUGGGAAAUUGGGACAGGCAGUUGCAGAGAAGAGGGUUUCAGUUUUAAAGAGGAUCCCCAGGGUAGGUUUCAUCAAAUAUGACCUCAUGGCACCUGGAAGGAAAGUAGAAGAGAACAGAGAAGAACAACCCUAAGGUGACAGCAUGCCCAGAGUAUGGCUAGAGCUGAGUGAGCAAGGGGGAAAGAGGAGAAGGAUAUGAAGUCAGAGAGGAAAUAGAGGAUGAGUUCACAAAGGUCACCAUGAAGGCUUUGGUUUUCAUGCUGAGUAAAAUAGGAAGCCACUGGAUGAUUUUGAGCAGAGGAGUGAGGUGAUCUGACUUAACACUUAAAAGGAUCAAUCUCGUAGGGGGACAAAGGUGGAAGCAACAUCUCCCGUUAGGAGCCUAUUGCAACAAUCCAAGCAAGAGAGGAGAGUGACUCAGCACAGGCUGGUAGAAUUGGUGGUGGAGAGAUGUGAUCAGAUUCUGGAUAUUUUGUUGGUAGAGCCAACAGGAAGGAUUUGCUGAUAAAUUAGAUGUGAUGUUUGAGAGAAAAAGACAAGGGUGACUCAAUAUUUUUGUCCAGAGCAACUGGAAAAAUGAAGCUGUCAUUCCCACAGAUAGGGAAGACUAGGUAGAGCAGAUUUUGAGGGAGAAGAUUAAGAGUUCAGUUUUGGACAUGCUGAGUUACAGCUGUCUAUCAGACAUCCAGAUGGAGAUGUCAUAAAGGUAGUUGGAUAUAGAAGUUUUGAGAUUGUAGAGAGGUCAGGGCUAGAGAUUUAAAACUGGUCACAAUUGGUGUAUUGAUGGUAUUCAUAGCCGUGAGCCUGGAUAGGAUGACCAAGACAGUGAGUGUGGAUAGAGAAGAGAAGAGUAUUAAGGAAUGUGCCCUUGAAUUCUUCUCUUUUAUUGUUUAUUUAUACUUGUUAUGUUUCUCAUUUUGUUUGGAAAAUUAUUACGCUGUGUAAAAUAAAAAGGAGAGUUGACAAUUAUUUAAAUUACUGAAGAUAGUCAAUCAAAUAAUUAAAUUUGCAAAGUAUAUUAAUUUUCCUUAAUUACCUGCUCUGAUUUUCUACAAAUGUCUGUAUUAUUCAGAUACUAUGACAUCUACAUUUUGAGCUGUUAGUGUUAUUUAAUCAAUAACAUACUCAUCUUUAGGACAGUAAUGUUCAAAAAUGCUUUCAAGCAAUUCUCUUGGUGGAGGAAUAGUCUGCAUCUGUGUUUAUUUUCUUAAAUUAAGUGUGCUUUGUUGGAAUAUGAGAAUUCUUUCCUCUUUUUCUGAUGGUUAUGACUUGACAGUCCUCAUUUUGGUGAUAUAGUAAAUGGCUUUUAAAGGUUAUGCCUAAGCAUAGCUACUAUCAGCAAGGACAGAGAGGAAAGGAAAUGCUGUCUCUGGGGGGUUGGGCGGAAUACACACACACACACACACACACACACACACACACACACAUAUAUUUGUUAUUUUCAUAAAAUAAAAAUAACUGUUGAAAAUGAGGAGUUUACUCAACUGCAAAUAAGUCCCUGUGGUGAAUGUAUUAGUAAGUUUUGAAUUUUAGUCUCAGACCCGUUUUAACACUCUUAUAACUGGGUAACUGUUAUAGCUGGUUAACUGAAUAACUGGUUAACUAAAUGUAGGCAAGCUCCAGAACAUAUUUUCCCACCACAAUACACUGUAUAAUGGUAGUAGACAAGCUAGAUAAUACAGACAUAUGAUGAGAUUUAUCAGUAGAGGAAAAACCCAAUUUAAUCUAACUUUGGAAACACAGCGGCUUAUUGAGUCAUAUGUUGAAAAAUACAGAGGUAGACCAGGCUUCUGUAUUUUUGAUCAAGAAUCUAGUUGUUUUAUUUCUUUCUUUGUUUUUUUUUCUUGCUUCUCUGCUCUGCCAUCCAAAUUGUUGUCUUCCACCCAGUGCUGGCUUUCUUCGCAGGUCUAGAGAUGCUGCCAAAAGUAAGCUGGGCUGUUUGCUUUCUUGAAAAUGCCCAAGGAGAAGAAAUGCCUUUCUUCAAUUUAUCAGGGAAGUGAUUUGAGUUUAGUGCCAAUUCUUGUGGCCGGUAUAAUGCCAUGUGUUGGCAGUCUUAUGGCCUCAGUCACCUGAGCCCUGUGACAAGUUCAAAGGGAUUCCCUUGACUUGCAUUUUCGGAGAUGUUGGUGGCGCCAAUGCCCUUUGAAGCACGGGCUGCUGUGCAGCAGGGGUCGGGGGUCAUGGCUGUUGGGGAGAUGAGCAUCAUGGCACUCCAUGUGGCCUAAUCACCCACAUAAUCCAAACUCAAUUAAUAUUACCUUUGGAUUUAUUGUGGAGACUCAGGUUCCUAGCUUUGGUUGAUAUUUCUCUCUCUCGGGGGCUUUCUCCAUUUGGUAGUGAUAGAAAACCAGCUAUAUCUAGUUAUGAAAAAAUCUGAACUAAAACUCAGUAGACAUGGACAAAAGGAAGAUACUUCACUUUUUCCUUAGCUACUAGUCAAUAUAAACAAAUGCCUUUUUACCUCUAUAGAGAAUAUCUUUUUUCCUGUUACUUAGAGCAGAUUUAGAACAACAUAUACAUAAAUAUCAUUUUUAUGUGAACACUUCUCUGUCACUGAUGUUGUUUGAAUGAAUUUUUAUGAUAGAAGCUUAUUUCCAACACUUUCAAAUUCCAUUAUAUGGAUGACUCCAAGAAAGUCAUUAUAUUUACGUCACAGUUUAAUGGGGGCUUUUCAACUAAAGUUGAUGAACUGAACAUAUAUGAUUACCACAGCUUCCUCACUGACACCAUACUAAAAUGAAAGUAAAGGUGUUUUUAAGGGCAUACAUUCUCAAGGACAAAGAGAAUUUGAGGGGAGACAACAACAACAAAAUGUUGGAAGUUGAAAGGCAAUGGACAAAUUCCAGAUCAUGAAAACUGAAAGCUUACAGUGGAAAAAGUAUAGAAGAAAUCCAGUUUGAGCCUCUAAACCACCAAGGGCUCAGGAACUGGCAAUAUGAGGUAACUUUGAAAGUGAAGGUGUAUACAGGGUGGAAACAGAAUUGUUGAUGAGAUUGUUAAAGAAUCAGAUAAGCCCCACAUCGGUAUUCUCCUGCUGCUUUGAAGGUGGGCAAUUGCUCCCCUUCUCAGUCCUCCACUCCAUAAUAUAAAGAGAGGAGAUCUAUUUUCUGGAGAGGUGAACCAGAGGAUCUCUGGAUGGGGGUACACCAGCACAGCUGAGGGUAGAGGAUAUAACUGGGUAAUCAGGUGGAACUCUAUACAAUAAGAGGGGUGAAGUCCAAUUUCAUUGCCUCUCCAGACUCCCAAAAUUCCAGGAGCCAUGCAGAAGAUUGAAAAGUCCCUUCUUUGAGGAAUCCAACUAACCCAAGAGCAUGGACCUAAAAGUAUUGAAAGCCAAAGAUCCAGUAAUGAGAAGACCAAGCAAGGCUGGGCGCGGUGGCUCAUGCCUGUAAUCCCAGC